Stegodyphus mimosarum is the source of this 73-nucleotide non-coding RNA. Lineage: Eukaryota; Metazoa; Arthropoda; Arachnida; Araneae; Eresidae. The record is from Rfam.
GCCUUCGUGGUGUAGUGGUCAGCACGCUGGACCCGUAUUCCAGAGGUCCGUGGUUCGAGUCCCGGCAAAGGCG